GACGGAGGAUGCAAGCGUUAUCCGGAAUGAUUGGGCGUAAAGCGUCCGCAGGUGGCAGUUCAAGUCUGCUGUCAAAGACCGGGGCUUAACUUCGGAAAGGCAGUGGAAACUGAACAGCUAGAGUAUGGUAGGGGCAGAGGGAAUUCCUGGUGUAGCGGUGAAAUGCGUAGAGAUCAGGAAGAACAUCGGUGGCGAAGGCGCUCUGCUGGACCAAAACUGACACUCAGGGACGAAAGCUAGGGGAGCGAAUGGG
This 253-nucleotide ribosomal RNA is filed under the name uncultured bacterium. RNAcentral's name for it is "partial 16S ribosomal RNA". It matches the Rfam family "Bacterial small subunit ribosomal RNA", at positions 524 to 776 of the family's 1533-position model. The record is from RNAcentral.